Molecule: ribosomal RNA, 301 nt
Filed under: uncultured bacterium
Lineage: Bacteria
Description: partial 16S ribosomal RNA
Rfam family: Archaeal small subunit ribosomal RNA
Source: RNAcentral
CAGUAGCCGCGGUAAAACCAGCACCUCGAGUGGUCAGGAGGUUUAUUGGGCCUAGAGCAUCCGUAGCCGGUUGCAUAAGUUUUCGGUUAAAUCUAUGCGCUUAACGUAUAGGCCGCCGAAAAUACUGUGCAGCUAGGGAGUGGGAGAGGUACACGGUACUCGAUAGGAAGGGGUAAAAUCCUUUGAUCUAUUGAUGACCACCUGUGGCGAAGGCGGUGUACCAGAACACGUUCGACGGUGAGGGAUGAAAGCUGGGGGAGCAAACCGGAUUAGAUACCCGGGUAGUCCCUGUCUCUUAUAC